UGGAUGUUCUUGCACAAAAAUCAGGCAAUUUUGGUGCUCAGGUUGGAGACAAUAUACAAAAGAAAUGGAUGGCUGAUACAGGUUUAUUCUAGACAUCCAUUUGUUUUAUACACAAUGGUCAAUUUGAUGGAAGGCUCUUACCUCACACCUGUAUGCUAUUUUGGUGCAUGUGGUUGGCAAGGCUCCACAAAUGUGUGAUCUUUACGAACCUCACCCAAUUUUAUUUUAUUUUAUUUUU
This is a long non-coding RNA of Magnolia sinica, 238 nucleotides long. RefSeq lists it as uncharacterized. Lineage: Eukaryota; Viridiplantae; Streptophyta; Magnoliopsida; Magnoliales; Magnoliaceae. The record is from RefSeq and is a predicted model, not a curated record. The transcript is spliced from 2 exons.